This 1158-nucleotide ribosomal RNA is filed under the name Aeromonas caviae. Its description in RNAcentral is "partial 23S ribosomal RNA". It matches the Rfam family "Bacterial large subunit ribosomal RNA", at positions 1 to 1211 of the family's 2925-position model. The record is from RNAcentral. Lineage: Bacteria; Pseudomonadati; Pseudomonadota; Gammaproteobacteria; Aeromonadales; Aeromonadaceae.
GGUUAAGUGACUAAGCGUACAUGGUGGAUGCCUUGGCAGUCAGAGGCGAUGAAGGACGUACUAACCUGCGAUAAGCCGUGAGCAGUCGGUAAGAGACAUUACGACUCACGGAUUUCCGAAUGGGGAAACCCACUUAGCAUAAGCUAGGUAUCGCUGCGUGAAUACAUAGCGUAGCGAGGCGAACCGGGAGAACUGAAACAUCUAAGUACCCCGAGGAAAAGAAAUCAACCGAGAUUCCCUCAGUAGCGGCGAGCGAACGGGGAUUAGCCCUUAAGCAUCUUGGAAGUUAGUGGAACGGUCCUGGAAAGGCCGGCGAUACAGGGUGAUAGCCCCGUACACGAAAACAACCUUGAUGUGAAAUCGAGUAGGGCGGGACACGUGACAUCCUGUCUGAAUAUGGGGGGACCAUCCUCCAAGGCUAAAUACUCCUGACUGACCGAUAGUGAACCAGUACCGUGAGGGAAAGGCGAAAAGAACCCCUGUGAGGGGAGUGAAAUAGAACCUGAAACCGUGUACGUACAAGCAGUGGGAGCCCUUCGGGGUGACUGCGUACCUUUUGUAUAAUGGGUCAGCGACUUACAUUUUGUAGCGAGGUUAACCGUAUAGGGGAGCCGUAGGGAAACCGAGUCUUAACUGGGCGUCUAGUUGCAAGGUGUAGACCCGAAACCGGGUGAUCUAGCCAUGGGCAGGUUGAAGGUUGAGUAACAUCAACUGGAGGACCGAACCCACUAACGUUGCAAAGUUAGGGGAUGACCUGUGGCUGGGGGUGAAAGGCCAAUCAAACUCGGAGAUAGCUGGUUCUCCCCGAAAGCUAUUUAGGUAGCGCCUCGGACGAAUACUACUGGGGGUAGAGCACUGUUUGGGCUAGGGGGUCAUCCCGACUUACCAACCCCAUGCAAACUCCGAAUACCAGUAAGUACUAUCCGGGAGACACACGGCGGGUGCUAACGUCCGUCGUGAAGAGGGAAACAACCCAGACCGCCGGCUAAGGUCCCAAAGUUCUGGUUAAGUGGGAAACGAUGUGGGAAGGCUCAGACAGCUAGGAUGUUGGCUUAGAAGCAGCCAUCAUUUAAAGAAAGCGUAAUAGCUCACUAGUCGAGUCGGCCUGCGCGGAAGAUGUAACGGGGCUCAAACCAGGCACCGAAGCCGCGGAUUCAC